AGGUAGCGAAAUUCCUUGUCGGGUAAGUUCCGACCUGCACGAAUGGCGUAAUGAUGGCCAGGCUGUCUCCACCCGAGACUCAGUGAAAUUGAACUCGCUGUGAAGAUGCAGUGUACCCGCGGCAAGACGGAAAGACCCCGUGAACCUUUACUAUAGCUUGACACUGAACAUUGAGCCUUGAUGUGUAGGAUAGGUGGGAGGCUUUGAAGUGUGGACGCCAGUCUGCAUGGAGCCGACCUUGAAAUACCACCCUUUAAUGUUUGAUGUUCUAACGUUGACCCGUAAUCCGGGUUGCGGACAGUGUCUGGUGGGUAGUUUGACUGGGGCGGUCUCCUCCUAAAGAGUAACGGAGGAGCACGAAGGUUGGCUAAUCCUGGUCGGACAUCAGGAGGUUAGUGCAAUGGCAUAAGCCAGCUUGACUGCGAGCGUGACGGCGCGAGCAGGUGCGAAAGCAGGUCAUAGUGAUCCGGUGGUUCUGAAUGGAAGGGCCAUCGCUCAACGGAUAAAAGGUACUCCGGGGAUAACAGGCUGAUACCGCCCAAGAGUUCAUAUCGACGGCGGUGUUUGGCACCUCGAUGUCGGCUCAUCACAUCCUGGGGCUGAAGUAGGUCCCAAGGGUAUGGCUGUUCGCCAUUUAAAGUGGUACGCGAGCUGGGUUUAGAACGUCGUGAGACAGUUCGGUCCCUAUCUGCCGUGGGCGCUGGAGAACUGAGGGGGGCUGCUCCUAGUACGAGAGGACCGGAGUGGACGCAUCACUGGUGUUCGGGUUGUCAUGCCAAUGGCACUGCCCGGUAGCUAAAUGCGGAAGAGAUAAGUGCUGAAAGCAUCUAAGCACGAAACUUGCCCCGAGAUGAGUUCUCCCUGACUCCUUGAGAGUCCUGAAGGAACGUUGAAGACGACGACGUUGAUAGGCCGG
Molecule: ribosomal RNA, 916 nt
Filed under: Escherichia coli O26:H11
Lineage: Bacteria; Pseudomonadati; Pseudomonadota; Gammaproteobacteria; Enterobacterales; Enterobacteriaceae
Description: bacterial LSU rRNA
Rfam family: Bacterial large subunit ribosomal RNA
Source: RNAcentral